Molecule: non-coding RNA, 48 nt
Filed under: Pseudomonas cichorii
Lineage: Bacteria; Pseudomonadati; Pseudomonadota; Gammaproteobacteria; Pseudomonadales; Pseudomonadaceae
Description: Guanidine-II sequence
Rfam family: Guanidine-II riboswitch aptamer (mini-ykkC)
About the family: Simpler in structure and has fewer highly conserved nucleotide positions than the ykkC-yxkD leader. Despite this each of its two stem-loop structures directly bind free guanidine.
Source: RNAcentral
CACAACGGACGACCGUUGUGCGCAACGACCCAUAGCGGGACGGCCCGC